Podarcis raffonei (Aeolian wall lizard) is the source of this 419-nucleotide long non-coding RNA. RefSeq lists it as uncharacterized. The record is from RefSeq and is a predicted model, not a curated record. The transcript has 4 exons. Lineage: Eukaryota; Metazoa; Chordata; Lepidosauria; Squamata; Lacertidae.
AACCAACCAACCCUCGGGCUAAGCCCUUUUAUAAACAGGGGCUGCUGUGAGCUGUUGUCCAACCACAUGGAGAGCACCAUAUUGACUACUCCUGACUUAGGAAGAAUCCCGUACCAGGUGCAGAGUCAAGCCCAGUUCUACCCUUGUCACUCUUGCUAUGGACAUAGUGAACAUCCAGCAGACCAGAGGGAGACCAGCUCUCCAUUUCCUAUCAUUGCAAGAUGCCUCUUUUGUCUGAGCAAGCCUUCCUCUGAUGCAUGAAUGAGCCACCUGAACUUUCACCUCCUUCAGGUGGCUGGUGUCCACUGAGGCUGGUAAGACAGAAGAUAAUGAAGUCAACAGGAAGUGAAGCCAGAGUGAUUGAUAGGCAGAACCAAACAAUUCUGUUUCUUUCUCUCCAUACACCUGCUUAAUUGCAA